This 273-nucleotide ribosomal RNA is filed under the name uncultured bacterium. RNAcentral's name for it is "partial 16S ribosomal RNA". It matches the Rfam family "Bacterial small subunit ribosomal RNA", at positions 524 to 796 of the family's 1533-position model. The record is from RNAcentral.
GACGAACCGUCCGAACGUUAUUCGGAAUUACUGGGCUUAAAGGGUGCGUAGGCGGCGCGGUAAGUUGGGUGUGAAAUCCCUCGGCUCAACCGAGGAAUUGCGCCCAAAACUGUCGUGCUCGAGGGAGACAGAGGUGAGCGGAACUGAUGGUGGAGCGGUGAAAUGCGUUGAUAUCAUCAGGAACACCAGUGGCGAAAGCGGCUCACUGGGUCUCUUCUGACGCUGAGGCACGAAAGCUAGGGGAGCAAACGGGAUUAGAAACCCUAGUAGUCC